CAGUGUGUGUGAACUCCUGAGCAGCUGUUGUCGAGGCAAAACGCUAUGCUACAAAAUAAUGUACUCAAUAACUGUCCGUGUAUGUUCAUGAAUAAAUUGGUUCAACCUG
Long non-coding RNA from Salarias fasciatus (jewelled blenny), 109 nucleotides. RefSeq lists it as uncharacterized. NCBI's taxonomy places the organism in Eukaryota, Metazoa, Chordata, Actinopteri, Blenniiformes, Blenniidae. The transcript is spliced from 3 exons. The record is from RefSeq and is a predicted model, not a curated record.